GAUGAACGCUGGCGGCGUGCCUAACACAUGCAAGUCGAACGAUGAACCCGCCCUCGGGCGGACAUGAAGUGGCGAACGGGUGAGUAACACGUGACCCACCUGCCCCCCGCCCAGGGACAGCCCCCCGAAAUGGGGAUUAAUACCUGGUACUCCGGAAGAGGCGCAUGCCGCCCCCGGGAAAGCUCUGGCGGCGGGGGAUGGGGUCGGGGGCCAUCAGGUAGACGGCGGGGUAGGAGCCCACCGUGCCGACGACGGGUAGCCGGGUUGAGAGACCGACCGGCCACAUUGGGACCGAGAUACGGCCCAGACUCCUACGGGAGGCAGCAGUGGGGAAUUUUGCGCAAUGGGGGCAACCCUGACGCAGCAACGCCGCGUGCGGGACGAAGGCGUCCGCGUCGUAAACCGCUUUCAGCGGGGAACACUUUUCGAGGGUACCCGCAGAAGAAGCCCCGGCUAAAUACGUGCCAGCCGCCGCGGUAA
This 480-nucleotide ribosomal RNA is filed under the name uncultured bacterium. RNAcentral describes it as "partial 16S ribosomal RNA". It matches the Rfam family "Bacterial small subunit ribosomal RNA", at positions 28 to 523 of the family's 1533-position model. The record is from RNAcentral.